RNAcentral lists this transfer RNA (67 nucleotides) under Galemys pyrenaicus. Its description in RNAcentral is "tRNA-Lys". It matches the Rfam family "tRNA". Rfam says of the family: Transfer RNA (tRNA) molecules are approximately 80 nucleotides in length. Lineage: Eukaryota; Metazoa; Chordata; Mammalia; Eulipotyphla; Talpidae. The record is from RNAcentral.
CAUUAAGAAGCUAAAUAAGCAUUAACCUUUUAAGUUAAAGAUUGAGAGCUUGACCUCUCCUUAAUGG